Molecule: transfer RNA, 97 nt
Filed under: freshwater metagenome
Description: tRNA-Val
Source: RNAcentral
UGCGUCGGAUAGCGAUUGGCAAAAUCGGCGAGUUGGACAAGCUCGAGCAGUUCGAGCGAACGGCGCUUGAUCUCGUUCGCGUCGGGGCGGACGCGGC